Molecule: ribosomal RNA, 801 nt
Filed under: Veillonella sp.
Lineage: Bacteria; Bacillati; Bacillota; Negativicutes; Veillonellales; Veillonellaceae
Description: partial 23S ribosomal RNA
Rfam family: Bacterial large subunit ribosomal RNA
Source: RNAcentral
GGUCAAGCUACAAAGGGCGCAGGGUGAAUGCCUUGGCACUAGGAGCCGAAGAAGGACGUGAUAAGCUGCGAUAAGCUUUGGGUAGACGCAAAUAGUCUGUGAUCCAGAGAUUUCCGAAUGGGGAAACCCACAUGGCUACGCCAUGUACUAUAUGCUGAAUACAUAGGUAUAUAGAGGUAAACCCGGGGAACUGAAACAUCUAAGUACCCGGAGGAAGAGAAAGAAAAAUCGAUUUCCUAAGUAGCGGCGAGCGAAAAGGAAAGAGCCCAAACCUAAGCCUUUGGCUUGGGGGUUGAGGACAGAACAUAAAUUUACUGAAUCUCUAGUUGAAGAUAGCUGGAAAGCUACUCCGUAGAAGGUAAUAGGCCUGUAAGCAAAAGAGAUAAAGUAACAGUUCUGAUCCAGAGUACCACGAGACACGUGAAACCUUGUGGGAAGCAGGGAGGACCACCUCCCAAGGCUAAAUACUACCUAGUGACCGAUAGUGGAGAAGUACCGUGAGGGAAAGGUGAAAAGAACCCCGGGAGGGGAGUGAAAUAGAACCUGAAACCCUGUGCCUACAACCGAUCGAAGCACUUUAUAUGUGUGACGAUGUGCUUUUUGUAGAACGAGCCAACGAGUUACGAUAUGUAGCGAGGUUAAGUACUUAAGGUACGGAGCCGAAGGGAAACCGAGUCUGAAUAGGGCGCAAAGUUGCAUGUCGUAGACCCGAAACCGGGUGACCUAUCCAUGGCCAGGUUGAAGCGAGAGUAAAAUCUCGUGGAGGACCGAACCACGUUGGUGUUGAAAAACCAUGGGAUG